GGGUGUGGCGCAGCUUGGUAGCGCGCUUCGUUCACACCGAAGAGGUCACUGGUUCGAUCCCAGUAUCGCCCA
RNAcentral lists this transfer RNA (72 nucleotides) under Pseudonocardia sp. Ae717_Ps2. Its description in RNAcentral is "tRNA-Val". It matches the Rfam family "tRNA". Rfam says of the family: Transfer RNA (tRNA) molecules are approximately 80 nucleotides in length. Their secondary structure includes four short double-helical elements and three loops (D, anti-codon, and T loops). Further hydrogen bonds mediate the characteristic L-shaped molecular structure. tRNAs have two regions of fundamental functional importance: the anti-codon, which is responsible for specific mRNA codon recognition, and the 3' end, to which the tRNAs corresponding amino acid is attached (by aminoacyl-tRNA synthetases). tRNAs cope with the degeneracy of the genetic code in two manners: having more than one tRNA (with a specific anti-codon) for a particular amino acid; and 'wobble' base-pairing, i.e. permitting non-standard base-pairing at the 3rd anti-codon position. Lineage: Bacteria; Bacillati; Actinomycetota; Actinomycetes; Pseudonocardiales; Pseudonocardiaceae. The record is from RNAcentral.